AAACCAGCACCUCAAGUGGUCAGGAGGAUUAUUGGGCCUAAAGCAUCCGUAGCCUGCUUUGUAAGUUUCCGGUUAAAUCCAUUAGCUCAACAUAUAGGCUGCCGGGAAUACUGCACAGCUAGGGAGUGGGAGAGGUAGACGGUACUCGGUAGGAAGGGGUAAAAUCCUUUGAUCUAUGGAUGACCACCUGUGGCGAAGGCGGUCUACCAGAACACGUCCGACGGUGAGGGAUGAAAGCUGGCGGAGCAAACCGGAUUAGAAACCCGAGUAGUCC
Molecule: ribosomal RNA, 274 nt
Filed under: uncultured bacterium
Lineage: Bacteria
Description: partial 16S ribosomal RNA
Rfam family: Archaeal small subunit ribosomal RNA
Source: RNAcentral